UACAGAGGUCUCAAGCGUUGUUCGGAUUCAUUGGGCGUAAAGGGUGCGUAGGUGGCGCGCUAAGUGGGGUGUGAAAUCUCGGAGCUUAACUCCGAAAUUGCAUUCCAUACUGGCGUGCUUGAGGACUGGAGAGGAGACUGGAAUUCACGGUGUAGCAGUGAAAUGCGUAGAGAUCGUGAGGAAGACCAGUGGCGAAGGCGGGUCUCUGGACAGUUCCUGACACUGAGGCACGAAGGCCAGGGGAGCAAACGGG
RNAcentral lists this ribosomal RNA (253 nucleotides) under uncultured bacterium. Its description in RNAcentral is "partial 16S ribosomal RNA". It matches the Rfam family "Bacterial small subunit ribosomal RNA", at positions 524 to 776 of the family's 1533-position model. The record is from RNAcentral.